RNAcentral lists this small RNA (4185 nucleotides) under Pongo abelii (Sumatran orangutan). RNAcentral's name for it is "retained intron". The record is from RNAcentral. Lineage: Eukaryota; Metazoa; Chordata; Mammalia; Primates; Hominidae.
CCUUCAGUCUCGAUGUUGAUGGCAGGACAAAGGGGCGCCUGGACCAUGGGUGACGUGGUCGAGAAGAGUUUGGAAGGGCCCCUGGCACCUUCUACAGAUGAGCCCUCCCAGAAAAGAGGAGACUUGGUCGAGAUCUUAAAUGGGGAAAAGGUCAAAUUUGACGACGCGGGACUCUCCUUAAUUCUUCAGAAUGGCCUGGAAACCCUGCGAAUGGAAAAUGCUCUGACAGAUGUCAUCUUGUGUGUGGACAUUCAGGAAUUCUCCUGCCACCGCGUGGUGCUUGCCGCAGCCAGCAACUAUUUCAGGGCCAUGUUUUGCAACGAUUUAAAGGAAAAGUAUGAGAAAAGGAUCAUUAUUAAAGGGGUUGAUGCUGAGACCAUGCACACUCUCCUGGACUACACAUACACCAGCAAGGCGCUGAUCACCAAGCAGAAUGUCCAGCGGGUCCUGGAGGCUGCUAACCUCUUCCAGUUCCUGCGGAUGGUGGAUGCCUGUGCCAGCUUCCUCACUGAAGCCUUGAACCCAGAAAACUGUGUUGGAAUACUGAGGCUGGCCGACACACACUCGCUGGACAGUCUAAAGAAGCAGGUUCAGAGUUACAUCAUUCAAAACUUUGUGCAGAUUCUGAACUCUGAGGAGUUCCUUGACCUGCCCGUGGACACUCUGCACCACAUCUUGAAGAGUGAUGACCUUUACGUGACAGAGGAGGCUCAGGUUUUUGAGACCGUGAUGAGCUGGGUCCGGCACAAGCCAUCAGAACGACUCUGCUUACUCCCCUAUGUCCUCGAGAAUGUGCGCUUACCGCUUCUGGACCCGUGGUACUUUGUGGAGAUGGUGGAAGCAGAUCCUCUCAUCAGGCAGUGCCCAGAGGUCUUCCCACUGCUCCAGGAAGCCAGGAUGUACCACCUUUCUGGCAAUGAGGUGGCAAAGAAACACAGCAUGAUGUUUGGAAAUAUAAUUCUUCGAUCAACAAGUGGAUUCAGAUUGAGUAUUUAAACAUAGGCCGCUGGAGGCAUAAGAUGGUGGUGUUGGGUGGCAAGGUCUAUGUUAUUGGAGGCUUUGACGGCUUACAGAGAAUCAACAACGUGGAGACCUAUGACCCCUUUCACAACUGCUGGUCAGAGGUAUAGGACAUGAUUUCUACCAGUAACUGCCUGUAUUAUUACUUCAGUGCUUUUUUUAAAAAUCUUUGGAACGUGCUUACCAUGGUGGCCAGCUUUCUGAUCACUUUACUUCCAAGGAGAACAGUUUUGGUGGCUCUGAGCUUCCCUCCUCCUAGGAGCUACUGCUUCAGUAUUGCUGAUCAAGUCACAGAAACAAUGUCCUUCCAAGUGGUGAAGGUCUGUGUGGGCACCUGUCCUAAUUUGGACAGAACACCAGAUGUGGACAGAGGCUCACCCUGUCCUUAGAUGGGAGAUCUCUUGGUCUGCAUGUCUUGGCAUAGAGUCUUGUCUCCUCAGAUGCCUUCUCUCCUAUUCUUCUCCACACUGGACACAUGCGGAUCACUUUACUACACGGUUUGUGAACCCAGAGUGAUUUGGUCAUGUUAGAAAUCAUCCCUUCUUUAUUUUCCCAUUGAUGAUGAGCCACUUACAGGCCUGCAUGUCAGACUUUAGUAAUGCAACCUCAGGUAUAUAUCAGACCCAGGAAAAGAAAAGCCACCUCAUCUCAUUUCCAGGUUAUUUCCAGUUUCAAAUUUUCUUUCUCCUUAUCAGAUCAGAUGUCCAAGCAUGUUCCAGCUUAAUGGAGUGUACAACACAGUCAUUGUAGGCACAAGCAAAGGUAGCCAGGUCACCACAACUAGCCAAGACUGUCAGCCUGAAAAGUGCUAUAUUGAGAGCCCUUAACAUGUAUGGGGGCAUGUCCAGGAUCUUCUCAAAACAAGCCCUAUCACAGAGCUGCUCCAUGAUCUAAAGAGAUCCUGUAAAUAAAUGGGCAAGAGGCUCUUGGAAGUCUCCUUUAGUGUCCUGGGGUUCACAGGGUAGAAGCACAUGUCUGACUUAAUCUCAAAAUCCUCAAUGCUGCCCUAUAAUGGAAGAGUCUGCUUACCUGUGGCCACCUUAAACCCAUAUACCAGCUUUUCUUCCUAGAGAUAAACACCAAGGAAAAUCAAUGCUGGUACAUAGUAGGCACUCCAUAAAUAUUUUUUGAGUGGAUGAGCACAUGAAUGAAUAUGAAUAUGCAUGUAUAAAACAUCGUUUUCCUCCACCACUGGCUGACUUCAUCUGUAUAAACUUAUUCUUGCCUGAGAGCUGGAUUCUGGGAGAGGCUGGCACAUCCCAACACACAGCUUGCUCUAGCUUGCGUGGAGCCUGGAGGGAGGGUGGGAAAUGCAUGCUUUCAUUCUUGCUGUGUCUUAAGAGGGGUCAAGCCCAUGGGCCUUGUGACUUUAGGCAAAAGAUGCCCAGUUCUGUGUCCCGGAGCUCUGUCCUGUAUCCGGGGAGCUAUUGCAGCAAUCUGGGCAGCAUGACUGACAGCUUCUUCUUGUGCCCUGUGCCUCUACAGGCCGCACCCCUCCUUGUCCAUGUCAGUUCCUUUGCAGCCACCAGCCAUAAGAAGAAGCUCUAUGUGAUUGGGGGAGGGCCCAAUGGGAAACUGGCCACAGACAAGACUCAGUGUUAUGACCCUUCCACCAACAAGUGGAGUUUGAAGGCAGCCAUGCCGGUGGAGGCUAAAUGCAUCAAUGCAGUGAGUUUCCGGGACCGCAUCUAUGUCGUUGGUGAGUAAUAGCUUUUUAUUGAUCUGAAUGGCUUAGAACCUGAUUAGCGCCUGGCUGCAGCACGUAAAGGGUGUAUCGCGGCGUCUCUAGCGCUGGCAACUCACUGCCCCUAGGACCCACUCUGGCUUUCAGAAGAGCCACCGAUCGACUGUUUCUCUUGGCAAGAGGGUAGACUUGGCCUAAUCAGAAGUUGAAUUUUAGUGGUUAAGAGGGAAGAAACCAGAAAAGCGGAGCGAUGCCCACCGUGUUUCCUCCCUCUCCUCAGGUGGGGCCAUGAGAGCGCUGUACGCCUACAGCCCGCUGGAAGACAGCUGGUGCCUGGUGACCCAGCUCAGCCACGAGCGGGCCAGCUGCGGCAUCGCGCCCUGCAACAACCGGCUCUACAUCACCGGCGGGCGGGACGAGAAGAACGAGGUUAUCGCCACGGUGCUGUGCUGGGACCCCGAGGCCCAGAAACUGACAGAGGAGUGCGUCCUGCCCCGGGGCGUGUCGCACCACGGCAGUGUCACCAUCAGGAAGUCGUACACCCACAUCCGCAGGAUCGUGCCUGGAGCAGUGUCUGUCUGAGGGCAGGAUGGGGAGCUGGACCCUCAGCGUGCCCGCCUCACCUCUCACCCUCCUCCAGUCCCACUUCAGGCAGCAGUCUCGAGUUUGAGGCCAUACAUCAGGGGAUCCCCUUGACUCAUUUUGGGGGAACCUUGGAAGUCACAGUUCGGGGUCACUUGAGACCGGCCAGGAAUGUUUGCAUGACCUACCUCAGGAGGGGAGGUGAGGAAGGGUAAUAUUUAGCAUUCAGGACCCACCCACCCUAUGCCGGCUUCUGUGCCAGGCACUUCCUUGUAUCGGUUCAUUUAACCUGGUGACUGGCUCUUAUCACUUCUAGUUUACAGGUGAGGGAAUCGAGUUUCACAGAGGCUAAGUGGCGGGCCCCCGAUCACUCAGAUAGCAAGUAGCUACCCCAGGAGUCUAAAACCCAGGUCUUUCAGCUCCGAAAUCAACGCUCUUUCCACCAUGCUGCCUAUCUCAGAGCAGGAAAAACAACCAAAAAACAAAAACAAAACCUGGCUCGUGCCGGGCGUGGCAGCUGACACCUGUAAUCCCAGCACUAUGGGAGGCUGAGGCGGGAGGAUGACCUGAGGUCAGGAGUUCGAGACCAGCCUGGCCAACAUGGUGAGACCUCCCCGUCUCUACUAAAAAUACAAAAAUUAGCCAGGUGCAGUGGCAGGCGCCUGUAAUUCCAGCUACUCAGAAGGCUGAGGCAGGAGGAUCACUUGAACUUGGGAGGUGGAGGUUGCAGUGAGCCGAGAUUGCGACACUGCACUGCAGCCCGGGAAACAAAAGUGAAACUCUGUCUCAAAAACAAAAACAAAAACAAAAACAAAAAAACCUGGCUCAUUUCUUGUUUCGGCAAAUCUGCUAAAAGAUUCACUCAGCACGGCAGGGAAAUAAAGGUGUUUCCUGUUUUC